AGAGUUUGAUCCUGGCUCAGGAUGAACGCUAGCGGCAGGCUUAACACAUGCAAGUCGAGGGGCAUCGGGAGGGAAGCUUGCUUCCUUGCCGGCGACCGGCGCACGGGUGAGUAACACGUAUGCAACCUGCCCUCUUCAGGGGGACAACCUUCCGAAAGGGAGGCUAAUCCCGCGUAUAUCGGUUUCGGGCAUCCGAGAUCGAGGAAAGAUUCAUCGGAAGAGGAUGGGCAUGCGGCGCAUUAGCUUGACGGCGGGGUAACGGCCCACCGUGGCGACGAUGCGUAGGGGUUCUGAGAGGAAGGUCCCCCACACUGGUACUGAGACACGGACCAGACUCCUACGGGAGGCAGCAGUGAGGAAUAUUGGUCAAUGGGAGAGAUCCUGAACCAGCCAAGCCGCGUGAGGGAAGACGGCCCUAUGGGUUGUAAACCUCUUUUGUCGGAGAACAAAACCCGGGACGCGUCCCGGACUGCGUGUAUCCGAAGAAAAAGCAUCGGCUAACUCCGUG
Molecule: ribosomal RNA, 508 nt
Filed under: uncultured Bacteroidales bacterium
Lineage: Bacteria; Pseudomonadati; Bacteroidota; Bacteroidia; Bacteroidales
Description: bacterial SSU rRNA
Rfam family: Bacterial small subunit ribosomal RNA
Source: RNAcentral